This 268-nucleotide ribosomal RNA is filed under the name uncultured bacterium. RNAcentral describes it as "partial 16S ribosomal RNA". It matches the Rfam family "Bacterial small subunit ribosomal RNA", at positions 793 to 1055 of the family's 1533-position model. The record is from RNAcentral.
GUCCACGCCCUAAACGAUGCCAACUAGUUGUUGGGGAAGGAGACUUCCUUAGUAACGAAGCUAACGCGUGAAGUUGGCCGCCUGGGGAGUACGGUCGCAAGAUUAAAAACUCAAAAGGAAUUGACGGGGACCCGCACAAGCGGUGGAUGAUGUGGAUUAAUUCGAUGCAACGCGAAAAACCUUACCUACCCUUGACAUGCCAGGAACUCUGCUGAGAGGUGGAGGUGCCCGAAAGGGAGCCUGGACACAGGUGCUGCAUGGCUGUCGU